CUUUCUUCAUCUUCUUCAUCACUUGGAUUAGAGAAGAAAGCUUGUUUAAGGUAAGCUUCAUGGACUCUAAUGGCAUAUAGCUAGAGAUGGGUUUAAAUCUCUUAGAAUCUAGCUAGAUGGAAAUCCUAGUUAAUGUUAGGUUGCUAUUUGCUUGAAUCAUGAAUUUAUAUAGUGUAUUAUUGCAAUAGUGACCUCUAGGAUUUUGAAAGAGAGCUCUUGAUCAUGAGAGGUUUUAAUCUCAAUUGAUCAUAUGUUUCCGCAAUUGAAGGUGAAACCGACUCGGAGGAUCAUUCGGAUUGAGAUUCCGUUAAGCCGGUGGUGGUCAAAGUGAAGAAAAUUCUAUUUUGCUUCAUUUGUCGCAGUUGGAAGAAAACAACGGCCAUAAAUCGCGCUACUAGGCUACUCGCUUCGUGUCGACAUCACGAGGUGGGGGGUGCUAUCCGAAAUAGCCGAGUUUCAUUCUAUGUCUAAGUUCUACUUUUAUUGAUCAUAUAUCAUCAUGCAUAGAAUAGUGAGAAUCCUAUGAGUUGUGGUAAUUUCAUGCUUAGUGUGAGGGAUAAUGAUCCAUGAUUGCAUGAUACUUGUAGGAAUAUCUAUUUGCAUGAUGUUGAGAUAGAUGUGGACAUGUAUGUUGUAUGAGAACUUUUAUAUGAUGCCAAUAUAAAUAUUGUACAUGUUGUAUGAAUUGCUAGUGGACAUAUGCAUGUGAAUAUGAUGUAAGAAUAGACUAGAUUCAUGAGGAACUAGUAUGUAAACCAAUGACAUUGUGAGAAUUGGAAACUAAUGCAUAUGUGGCCGACCUAAGCAAAGCAUGCCUUGUGAUGAUUGGGAUAUGGUACUCCCGUGGCCCUCGAAUGAGAGGACUUGAUCAUACUCGCAUUGUCUGUUAUAGCUUGUGGAUGGUCGCUCCUCCCAAGCAGUGAGCUCCGGAGUUGAAUCACAUUGAGAUUGGAACGGGGGAGAGAGUCACUACGGUGCGCCCUCGGCAGACCGGUCACGGUUGCGUGACAGUAUGUGUGGCGAGUGAUUCGACCUUCGGGCGAAUUGUUUGGAUUUGACAUAGGCAUGAUCAUGGCAUUUCGUAUAUAGUUUGCAUACAUGACAGAUUGAGGUGGUAUCAUAGAUGAUUUAUGAUCAAUAAAAGUAGAACUUAGACAUAGAAUGAAACUCGGCUAUUUCGGAUAGCACCCCCCACCUCGUGUUGUCGACACGAAGCGAGUAGCCUAGUAGCGCGAUUUAUGGCCGUCGUUUUCUUCCAACUGCGACAAAUGAAGCAAAAUAGAAUAGUGAGAAUCCUAUGAGUUGUGGUAAUUUCAUGCUUAGUGUGAGGGAUAAUUAUCCAUGAUUACAUGAUACUUGUAGGAAUAUCUAUUUGCAUGAUGUUGAGAUAGAUGUGGACAUGUAUGUUGUAUGAGAACUUUUAUAUGAUGCCAAUAUAAAUAUUGUACAUGUUGUAUGAAUUGCUAGUGGACAUAUGCAUGUGAAUAUGAUGUAAGAAUGGACUAGAUUCAUGAGGAACUAGUAUGUAAACCAAUGACAUUGUGAGAAUUGGAAACUAAUGCAUAUGUGGCCGACCUAAGCAAAGCAUGCCUUGUGAUGAUUGGGAUAUGGUACUCCCGUGGCCCUCGAAUGAGAGGACUUGAUCAUACUCGCAUUGUCUGUUAUAGCUUGUGGAUGGUCGCUCCUCCCAAGCAGUGAGCUCCGGAGUUGAAUCACAUUGAGAUUGGAACGGGGGAGAGAGUCACUACGGUGCGCCCUCGGCAGACGGUCACGAUCGCGUGACAGUAUGUGUGGCGAGUGAUUCGACCUUCAGGCGAAUCGUUUGGAUUUGACACAGGCAUGAUCAUGACAUUUUGUAUAUAGUUUGCAUACAUGACAGAUUGAGGUGGCAAUCCACGACCACACACAUGAACCAAUCCAUGUAUAAAAAUAAUAAAAUUUUAUUAAUGCAGCAAAUAAAUUAUUUAUAAUUACAAUAUUAUAUAUAAAUUGUUUGAUAUAAACUAUAAUUUAAUAAAAAUAAUUUAUUAUGAUAUUUAAAAAAAAUAAUUUACAAUAGUAUUUAAAUAUAAUUUAUUUUAAUAAUUUAUUAUAAUAUUUAAGUACGAAUGUAUGUAUAGAUAUAGCACAAUUAAUAAUUUUUAGGAUAAAUUUCAAAUAUCACUCUUAUAGUUUCGCACUUUCUCACUUUAGCACUCUAUAAUUUAAAGUGUAUCAUUUUAGUACCAUGUAGUUUCAUUUUUUUUAUUUUCAACAGUUCCUUUGUUAACUUUUCAUUAAAUCAUAUAUAAAAAACUUUAGAUACCCCACAUAUAGUUUAUCAAAUAUUUACUUUAGUACCCUUUAAUUUUGACUUUAUCACUGAUUUAAUAAAAAAAAAAUAGCGGAGGAAAUAAUAAAAAGAGAAAAAUAAAACCACAGGGUACGAAAGUAAUACACUUUUAAACCAUAUGGUACCAAACUGAAAAAGUGCGAAACUAAAUGGAUGGCAUUUAAAAUUUUUCCAAUUUUUAUAAUAAAAGUUAUUUAUUAUAAUAUAUAAUAUAUCACGUCUAUAUAAUUUAUUUUAAUUUAAUUUAUAAUUUUAAUAAAAUGUGGAAUUAAACUUUAAAAUAACAUUAUUUCACCAAAAGAAUGGAAUAGUUUACUCCAAACUAUUCCAGAAUAACCGUAAAUAGCAAAAUUUGACCGGAAUAAAAUAUUCCGGCUAAAAAACAUGCCGUAAUAACUUUCGUUAUCUCAGCUUUAUCCCCCAAGCUAUAGGAAGAACAACAACAUAU
This 2780-nucleotide long non-coding RNA is filed under the name Ananas comosus (pineapple). RNAcentral's name for it is "long non-coding RNA (ACOM_LNC009616)". The record is from RNAcentral. Lineage: Eukaryota; Viridiplantae; Streptophyta; Magnoliopsida; Poales; Bromeliaceae.